Flavobacterium aquatile is the source of this 143-nucleotide small RNA. It matches the Rfam family "Flavo-1 RNA". The record is from Rfam. NCBI's taxonomy places the organism in Bacteria, Pseudomonadati, Bacteroidota, Flavobacteriia, Flavobacteriales, Flavobacteriaceae.
UUUUAGCCCAGAUAGAAGUGGAAAGCAUUUUGUUAUAAAAACUUAUUUUUCUUGGUGUAAAAAAGCGACCAACGGAAGCUCUUUUUGCGCCGUAGAAAAAUUGUUUUUAUGGCAAAAUCUUGCAACGUAUAGCUGGAUUAGCU